Molecule: ribosomal RNA, 329 nt
Filed under: uncultured bacterium
Lineage: Bacteria
Description: bacterial SSU rRNA
Rfam family: Bacterial small subunit ribosomal RNA
Source: RNAcentral
AGGGUUUGAUUAUGGCUCAGGACGAACGCUGGCGGCGUGCCUAACACAUGCAAGUCGAACGGAGAUGUUUAUUUCGGUAGACAUCUUAGUGGCGCACGGGUGAGUAACGCGUGAAUAACCUGACCCGAAGAGGGGGAUAACACCUGGAAACAAGUGCUAAUACCGCAUAAGACCACGGACCGGCAUCGGUCAGAGGUCAAAGGAGGAAUCCGCUUUGGGAGGGGUUCGCGUCCCAUUAGGUAGUUGGUGAGGUAACGGCCCACCAAGCCGACGAUGGGUAGCCGAGCUGAGAGGCUGAUCGGCCACACUGGAACUGAGACACGGUCCAG